RNAcentral lists this ribosomal RNA (286 nucleotides) under Salmonella enterica subsp. enterica serovar Anatum. Its description in RNAcentral is "partial 23S ribosomal RNA". It matches the Rfam family "Bacterial large subunit ribosomal RNA", at positions 1393 to 1681 of the family's 2925-position model. RNAcentral also lists the same sequence under 1 other name. The record is from RNAcentral. Lineage: Bacteria; Pseudomonadati; Pseudomonadota; Gammaproteobacteria; Enterobacterales; Enterobacteriaceae.
AAGGCGAGGCCGAAAGGCGUAGUCGAUGGGAAACAGGUUAAUAUUCCUGUACUUGGUGUUACUGCGAAGGGGGGACGGAGAAGGCUAUGUUGGCCGGGCGACGGUUGUCCCGGUUUAAGCGUGUAGGCUGGUUUUCCAGGCAAAUCCGGAAAAUCAAGGCUGAGGCGUGAUGACGAGGCACUACGGUGCUGAAGCAACAAAUGCCCUGCUUCCAGGAAAAGCCUCUAAGCAUCAGGUAACAUCAAAUCGUACCCCAAACCGACACAGGUGGUCAGGUAGAGAAUAC